RNAcentral lists this ribosomal RNA (279 nucleotides) under Enterobacter kobei. Its description in RNAcentral is "partial 16S ribosomal RNA". It matches the Rfam family "Bacterial small subunit ribosomal RNA", at positions 1255 to 1533 of the family's 1533-position model. RNAcentral also lists the same sequence under 2 other names. The record is from RNAcentral. Lineage: Bacteria; Pseudomonadati; Pseudomonadota; Gammaproteobacteria; Enterobacterales; Enterobacteriaceae.
UCGCGAGAGCAAGCGGACCUCAUAAAGUGCGUCGUAGUCCGGAUUGGAGUCUGCAACUCGACUCCAUGAAGUCGGAAUCGCUAGUAAUCGUAGAUCAGAAUGCUACGGUGAAUACGUUCCCGGGCCUUGUACACACCGCCCGUCACACCAUGGGAGUGGGUUGCAAAAGAAGUAGGUAGCUUAACCUUCGGGAGGGCGCUUACCACUUUGUGAUUCAUGACUGGGGUGAAGUCGUAACAAGGUAACCGUAGGGGAACCUGCGGUUGGAUCACCUCCUUA